AGCUCCAGUAGCGUAUAUUAAAGUUGUUGCAGUUAAAAAGCUCGUAGUUGGAUUUCUGGCUUGGCGCGUUUGGCCCGCUCCGGUUACGGAUGUGUGAUGCCUACGCGCGCCUGCCAUCCUUCUAGAGAACGUUUCUACCCUUCAGUGGGCCGGAUUCGCAAUCUAGAUCUUUUACUUUGAAAAAAUUAGAGUGUUUAAAGCAGGCUUGUGCUAUGAAUACAUUAGCAUGGAAUAAUAAUUUAGGACUUUAGUUCUAUUUUGUUGGUUUCUAGAACUGAAGUAAUGAUUGAUAGGGAUAGUUGGGGGUGCUAGUAUUCAGCGGCCAGAGGUGAAAUUCUUGGAUUCGCUGAAGACUAACUUAUGCGAAAGCAUUCACCAAGGAUGUCUUCUUUA
RNAcentral lists this ribosomal RNA (393 nucleotides) under Thaumatomastix sp. RNAcentral describes it as "partial small subunit ribosomal RNA". It matches the Rfam family "Eukaryotic small subunit ribosomal RNA", at positions 587 to 975 of the family's 1831-position model. The record is from RNAcentral. Lineage: Eukaryota; Cercozoa; Imbricatea; Thaumatomonadida; Thaumatomastigidae.